ACGGCAUCAAGCGCUUGCGCCUGAUGGACGUCGACCGGCGCACGGGUGAGUAACGCGUAUCCAACCUGCCCCACACUAAGGGACAACCCGCAGAAAUGUGGGCUAAUACCUUAUAUUUUCCACCAAGGGCAUCGUUGAUGGAACAAAGAUUUAUCGGUAUGGGAUGGGGAUGCGUCCGAUUAGGUUGUUGGCGGGGUAACGGCCCACCAAGCCAUCGAUCGGUAGGGGUUCUGAGAGGAAGGUCCCCCACAUAGGAACUGAGACACGGUCCUAACUCCUACGGGAGGCAGCAGUGAGGAAUAUUGGUCAAUGGGCGGGAGCCUGAACCAGCCAAGUAGCGUGCAGGAAGACGGCCCUAUGGGUUGUAAACUGCUUUUAUGCGGGGAUAAAGGAGUCCACGUGUGGGCUUUUGCAGGUACCGCAUGAAUAAGGACCGGCUAAUUCCGUGCCAGCAGCCGCGGUAAUACGGAAGGUCCGGGCGUUAUCCGGAUUUAUUGGGUUUAAAGGGAGCGUAGGCCGCGUUUUAAGCGUGUUGUGAAAUGUAGGCGCCCAACGUCUGCAUCGCAGCGCGAACUGGAACGCUUGAGUACGCGCAACGUUGGCGGAAUUCGUCGUGUAGCGGUGAAAUGCUUAGAUAUGACGAAGAACUCCGAUUGCGAAGGCAGCUGACGGGAGCGGCACUGACGCUUAAGCUCGAAGGUGCGGGUAUCAAACAGGAUUAGAUACCCUGGUAGUCCGCACGGUAAACGAUGGAUGCUCGCUGUGUGCCUUUUAUGGUACGCGGCUAAGCGAAAGCGUUAAGCAUCCCACCUGGGGAGUACGCCGGCAACGGUGAAACUCAAAGGAAUUGACGGGGGCCCGCACAAGCGGAGGAACAUGUGGUUUAAUUCGAUGAUACGCGAGGAACCUUACCCGGGCUUGAACUGCCGGCGAACGAUCCAGAGAUGGUGAGGCCCCUCGGGGCGCCGGUGGAGGUGCUGCAUGGUUGUCGUCAGCUCGUGCCGUGAGGUGUCGGCUUAAGUGCCA
This 1026-nucleotide ribosomal RNA is filed under the name Prevotella sp. S7-1-8. Its description in RNAcentral is "bacterial SSU rRNA". It matches the Rfam family "Bacterial small subunit ribosomal RNA", at positions 66 to 1089 of the family's 1533-position model. The record is from RNAcentral. Lineage: Bacteria; Pseudomonadati; Bacteroidota; Bacteroidia; Bacteroidales; Prevotellaceae.